UGGACAGACUGCAAGAUGGGUAUAUUGU
RNAcentral lists this non-coding RNA (28 nucleotides) under Rattus norvegicus (Norway rat). Lineage: Eukaryota; Metazoa; Chordata; Mammalia; Rodentia; Muridae. The record is from RNAcentral.